Molecule: ribosomal RNA, 882 nt
Filed under: Trichophyton verrucosum
Lineage: Eukaryota; Fungi; Ascomycota; Eurotiomycetes; Onygenales; Arthrodermataceae
Description: LSU rRNA
Rfam family: Eukaryotic large subunit ribosomal RNA
Source: RNAcentral
UGCAUAUCAUAAGCGGAGGAAAAGAAACCAACAGGGAUUGCCCCAGUAACGGCGAGUGAAGCGGCAGGAGCUCAAAUUUGAAAUCUGACCUCCUCCGGGGGUCCGAGUUGUAAUUUGCAGAGGAUGCUUCGGGUGCGGCCCCCGUCUAAGUUCCUUGGAACAGGACGUCAGAGAGGGUGAGAAUCCCGUCUUGGGCGGGCGGCCCGCGCCCGUGUGAAGAUCCUUCGACGAGUCGAGUUGUUUGGGAAUGCAGCUCUAAGCGGGUGGUAAAUUUCAUCUAAAGCUAAAUACUGGCCGGAGACCGAUAGCGCACAAGUAGAGUGAUCGAAAGGUUAAAAGCACCUUGAAAAGGGAGUUAAACAGCACGUGAAAUUGUUGAAAGGGAAGCGCUUGCGGCCAGACUCGGGGGCGGGGUUCAGCGGGCGCUCGUCGCCCGUGCACUCCCCGCGCCCCGGGCCAGCAUCAGUUUCGACGGCCGGUCAAAGGCCCCCGGAAUGUGUCGUCUCUAGGGACGUCUUAUAGCCGGGGGUGCAAUGCGGCCCGUCGGGACUGAGGAACGCGCUCCGGCUCGGAUGCUGGCGUAAUGGCCGUAAGCGGCCCGUCUUGAAACACGGACCAAGGAGUCUAACAUCCACGCGAGUGUUCGGGUGUCAAACCCGUGCGCGCAGUGAAAGCGAACGGAGGUGGGAGCCUUUGGGCGCACCAUCGACCGAUCCUGAAGUCUUCGGAUGGAUUUGAGUAGGAGCGUGGCCGUUGGGACCCGAAAGAUGGUGAACUAUGCCUGAGUAGGGUGAAGCCAGAGGAAACUCUGGUGGAGGCUCGCAGCGGUUCUGACGUGCAAAUCGAUCGUCAAAUUUGGGCAUAGGGGCGAAAGACUAAUCG